GACGGAGGGUGCUAGCGUUGUUCGGAAUCACUGGGCGUAAAGCGCGUGUAGGCGGUUCGAUAAGUCGGAUGUGAAAGCCCGAAGCUCAACUUCGGAAGUGCAUCCGAAACUGUCGGGCUUGAGUACGGGAGAGGGAAGCGGAAUUCCUGGUGUAGAGGUGAAAUUCGUAGAUAUCAGGAGGAACACCGGUGGCGAAGGCGGCUUCCUGGACCGAUACUGACGCUGAGACGCGAAAGCGUGGGGAGCAAACAGG
RNAcentral lists this ribosomal RNA (253 nucleotides) under uncultured bacterium. RNAcentral describes it as "partial 16S ribosomal RNA". It matches the Rfam family "Bacterial small subunit ribosomal RNA", at positions 524 to 776 of the family's 1533-position model. The record is from RNAcentral. RNAcentral also lists the same sequence under 1 other name.